Molecule: non-coding RNA, 265 nt
Filed under: Iljinskaea planisiliqua
Lineage: Eukaryota; Viridiplantae; Streptophyta; Magnoliopsida; Brassicales; Brassicaceae
Source: RNAcentral
GGCAACGGGGUGGAGCCCAGGAGAUGAGUCUGCUUAUUCUCAUCUAAACCCUGAACCCUCCCUGAAAAGUGGGAAUUUAUAUAAUUGGGGGUGUUUGGCCGGCGUUUCCCCCGAAAAAUAAUUAAAAAACGUCGAUGGUUACAUAAGAGACUUGUCUCCAAAGUAGACCGGGCUGGGUUGGUUCGUUAGGUGGUUCUGUUGAGAACUAGAUUAGUGCUUCUGCAGUUAACCGAUUCCUCACCUUCCCUUCCACCCCCAAAUUUUU